AGCAGUGAGGAAUAUUGGUCAAUGGCCUAACGGCUGAACCAGCAACUUGGAAGAACGUAUAGCUUCGGCUUGUUAUAUUUAAGUUUUAUAUUUAAAUUUAAAUUUAAUUUAAUUUAAAUAUAUGGAAAGUUAGAAAGAUUGAAAGUAGAAACAACUUACUAUACUUUUUUUAUACUAAAUAUAAUAUCGACUACGUCGAAUAAAGGUCUAGGCGUAGAAUUCUGAUAAUGACAGUAACUUGCCUAUCAGUCUUGACUAAAUUACGUGCCAGCAGUCGCGGUAAUACGUAGAAGACUAGUGUUAUUCAUCUUUAAUAGGUUUAAAGGGUACCUAGACGGCGUAAUUAGCCUAAAAUAAGGUACGGUUAUAGCUAGAGUUAUAUAAGAGAAGGGGAGUAUGGAUGGAGGAGAGAUGAAAUUUUUUUAUCCCAUACAGACUGAUAGAGGCGAAAGCAACCUUUUAUCUAAUAACUGACGUUGAGGGACGAAGGCUUGGGUCACGAACAGGAUUAGAUACCCUAGUAGUCCUUGCAGACAAUUAUGAAUGCCAUAGACUAGAUUAUUUUUUUUUAGUUUAUAAAUUAAACUAGAUUAUUUUUUUAGUUUAUAAAUGAAAGUGUAAGCAUUUCACCUCAAGAGUAAUGUGGCAACGCAGGAACUGAAACCAUUAGACCGUUUCUGAAACCAGUAGUGAAGUAUGUUAUUUAAUUCGAUAACCCUCGAAAAACCUUACCACAACUUGAAUAUUAUCAGUAGAUUACUAUCUAUGUAUAUUACAAGCGUUGCACGGCUGUCUUCAGUUAAUGUCGUGAGAUUUUGGUUAGCUCCAUAAAAUUAACGUAAACCCUUGCUUUAUUUAUUUUUAUUUAAAAUAAAGCAGUUCGCCACUAUAUUGGAAUAUGAUAAGAGGGAUCAAGACAAGUCAACAUGACCUUAAUGUUGUGGGCUAUAGAA
Molecule: ribosomal RNA, 953 nt
Filed under: Ramomarthamyces tuku
Lineage: Eukaryota; Fungi; Ascomycota; Leotiomycetes; Marthamycetales; Marthamycetaceae
Description: SSU rRNA
Rfam family: Bacterial small subunit ribosomal RNA
Source: RNAcentral